UACGGAGGGAGCUAGCGUUGUUCGGAAUUACUGGGCGUAAAGCGCGCGUAGGCGGCUUUGUAAGUUAGAGGUGAAAGCCCGGGGCUCAACCCCGGAACUGCCUUUAAGACUGCAUCGCUUGAAUCCGGGAGAGGUGAGUGGAAUUCCGAGUGUAGAGGUGAAAUUCGUAGAUAUUCGGAAGAACACCAGUGGCGAAGGCGACUCACUGGACAUGUAUUGACGCUGAGGUGCGAAAGCGUGGGGAGCAAACAGG
RNAcentral lists this ribosomal RNA (253 nucleotides) under uncultured bacterium. Its description in RNAcentral is "partial 16S ribosomal RNA". It matches the Rfam family "Bacterial small subunit ribosomal RNA", at positions 524 to 776 of the family's 1533-position model. The record is from RNAcentral.